Molecule: long non-coding RNA, 3287 nt
Filed under: Sus scrofa (pig)
Lineage: Eukaryota; Metazoa; Chordata; Mammalia; Artiodactyla; Suidae
Description: lncRNA (ENSSSCG00000055586.1)
Source: RNAcentral
CACUCUAAGACCCCAGCCCCCUCCCCAGGUUAAGACUCCCCACCCCCCUACCCACAGGCACCACAGCAAAGCACCCCAGCCUGGGGCUUGAACAACAGAUACUAAGUCCUCACGGUCCCAGAGGCUGAAGUCGAGGUGUGGGCACUGAGGCCUCUGUCCUUGGCCUCGUGGGCGUCCACCGUCUCCCCGUGUCCUCACGUGGCCGCCCGUGCGUGUCCGUGUUCUCAUCUCCUUAUAAGGACACUGGUCAGACUGCUUCAGGGCCACCCCAGUGACCUCAUGUCACCUUAGUCCCCUCUUUGAAGGGUUUUUCUCCAAAUGCAUCCCAUCCUGAGGUGCUGGGGAUCAGCCCCCCAAUGCCUGAAAUAUAAGGGACCGACUUCCGCCCCCAGCGCUCCCAGGGAGGCAGGUGUCAGAAAACAGCGUGGACUGGAAAGCUAGCCCGGCUGGGGCUCAGACCUGGAUUUGGUCACUUUCCAGCUGGGAUAAGUCUUGUCCCCUUUCAGAGCCCCGGUUCCCUCCUCUGAACUUGAUGGGCUUCACAAGUGUCCAGUACGAAUGAUGCUUUUGGGUUUCUGCAAUGAACGGUACCCAGCACGCAGCCCGUGCUCCAUAAAUAACACUAAAUUCCUGGCUCCCGGGGGCGGAGGCCAGUCCUAGUGGGGGGCUUUGGAGGUGCCCAUCCAUCCCCCUGGCCAUGGGAGUGAGGAGGCCCCCUCACUGACUGCACGUGACUUGUGAAAAAACCUGAGACUGACCAAGGUGGGGUCCCUGCUCAAGGUCACAUGGCUGGGAGACGGGGGCCGGGAGCUGGGCUGGGUCUGUGUCGCAGGCAUGGCUGUGCCCUGAGAGGGGAGAAACGGGGGCUCAUCUGUUCACCCCCUCACCACGCCCAGCAAGGCCCUUCCUAGAAUGUAUUCUCCAUCAGCGAUGCUUCAGUUGCAUCCAAGUGCCUUGAAACAGGCAAGAAACAGGGCGGGGAGAAGGAGGGCUGUGGCGUGGAUUUUGCUCUCUGGGUCAUCUUCUGAAGAAUGUCUUGACACAUCUCACAAGGCCCCUCGAAUGUGAAAGGAAAAUAUUUCCCCAACCAAAGAGGCAUCAUCCGCGUGAAAUGGGAGCCCAAGCUGCGAGCAGCGGACCUGCCCUUUCCCGCAUGAGGAAGGAGAAGAGAUUUAUAAACGAUACCGCUAAUUGUGGUUUUUCUACAAGAUUAAUUUUAUUGUCCCAUUAACUGCUCCUUCUGAAGCCAUUCAGGGGUGGAUUAUGUCUUAGCUUUCAUUUCCGGAGCUUUCGUUAAUAAUUAGGUCACCUUUUAGCCGGGAGCCCUGGCUGGCCGGGGCCAGGGAGACUUCUGCUGGAAGGGAACCCCUUAGCAUGUCACAGUGUUCUCACUGCCAAUGUCAGGUCGCCCCAGGCCAGAACGCUGUGCUUCCUCCAUCAUCUGGUAUUAGGAGUGAGGGGACAGGAAUUUGGGGCUUUGCUGGAUGGCAGACACUGUGCCCGGGGCACUUUUUCUCGUGAAACCUCACAGCAGCCUGGCAGGUCAGCACUGUUGGCCAUGACACAGGACAGGAGCCGAGGGUCACCUAACGCAGAUCCAACUGAGGACACUUGCCCCAAAGCCGGUGCUGUCCCCACCUCGUCAUACAGGCACCCCUCCCUCCAGAGUUUAGAGAGUCAGAGGAUUGAGUUUCACUCUCCUGAGACCGAAAAGCUAAACCAGCUGGAAAUAUUUCUAACAAGGUGCCUUGAACACACUGACACUGGUUCAUUGGUUUUUUGUUUUUUAUUUUUUAUUUUUUUUUUUGGUUGGUAAAAGAUGGGGCAGGUGGUGGGAGGUCUGGAGGUCAGAAUACAUUACAUCACAAUUGACUAAGGACCAGCUGAGGGCCAGACACGACCUAAUCUUAACCUUGACAUAAUCAUGACAAGGUAAAUCAUACUUUCUUCUAUUGUCUUUUUUAGGGCCGUACCUGUGGCCUAUGCAACUUCCCAGGCUAGAGGUCCAAUCAGAGCUGCAACUGCCGGGCUGCACCACAGCCACAGCUACACUGGAUCUGAGCGGUAUCUGCAACCUACACCGCAGCUUGUGGCAACACCAGAUCCUUAACCCACUGAGCGAGGCCAGGGAUCGAACCUGCAUCCUCAGGGACCAUGGUGUCGGGUACUUAACACACUGACCCACAACGGAAACUCCUUCUAUUUUCCAGAAGCAGUAACACAGGUUAUUACUGAAUGACUGACCCAUUGAUUGGAACCCAAACAUGCACGUUGAACAUGCAGGAUGUUUGUGAUUUUUCAGUGAUAAGUGACCCUGCAAUGUUUGAGCAGGUACAAGUCUCUGUGCACGACUGUGAUAUUAACUGUCAAUAUAGGAAUUCCUGUAUUGAUGUUUUUGGUCUACUGUCUAAUAGGGAAGCUGGAAGCUAAGUGGUUGGUUUUGCAGACUCCCUUGCAGAUAGAGAGGCCAAGACAUCCAGUCCUGACCAACGAGUACCACAUGCGGCCUUCCAGGAGUGUCCAUGGAAAGCUUUUGUUUUCCUGCUGAAGCGGGACAUACAGGCUGGCAGUACUCUUCAUCCUUCUUCCUGCCUUGAAUGUGAAAAUGAUGUAUGGAGCCUCAGCAGCCUUCUUCCGUCCAUGAGGCACCAACUCUGAGACUGGAAACCAACCCUCAAAGGUCCUCUCUGAAAUGGCUACACUGCACCAGCAACCAAGCACUCCUUGUUGUCCUUAAAAAGCAAAGCCUAGUUUGCUGAAGCCCUGUUGGGGCAGGAUUUCUGUUCCUUGAAGGGAGCAUAUUCCUGACUCACCACGUUCAGGCAGGUUGGACAUACCAGACUGGGCUUUUCCUGACACCCGUUCUCCACUUCUUCUGUUUUCUCAAGGCAGGUGUCUGCUCCGAGUCAAAACAUGUUGUCUCACCUCCCUUGCAGUGAAGCGUGGCCCAGUGAGAAAAUUCUGGCAAGAAGGAAAAGGGCAGAAAUGUUGUGUGGCCGGCCACCCUCCGUAAAGGACAGUCUGUGCCCACUCCUUGCCUCUGAAGCCUUGGUCCCUCUCUCCUUCCUGCCACCUGCUAUGUCAGGGAGCUGGAAGGAGCUGGGGCCCCAAGGCCCACACAGCUGACCCCCCACCAGUCCCAGGCUCACUUGCCUUCAGACUCUAGAACCAGUUCUCUUCUGAGCCACUGUUAGGUGGGCUUUCCUGUCACAGUCAGACCUGAUUCCAGCUGUAUUAGUUUCCUGUGGUUUCUGUAACAAGUUACCAUAAACUUAGCGGCUUGAAAC